This 253-nucleotide ribosomal RNA is filed under the name uncultured bacterium. RNAcentral's name for it is "partial 16S ribosomal RNA". It matches the Rfam family "Bacterial small subunit ribosomal RNA", at positions 524 to 776 of the family's 1533-position model. The record is from RNAcentral.
UACAGAGGGGGCAAGCGUUGUUCGGAAUUACUGGGCGUAAAGGGCGCGUAGGCGGCCUGUUAAGUCGAACGUGAAAUCCCCGGGCUCAACCCGGGAACUGCGUCCGAUACUGGCAGGCUUGAAUUCGGGAGAGGGAUGUGGAAUUCCAGGUGUAGCGGUGAAAUGCGUAGAUAUCUGGAGGAACACCGGUGGCGAAGGCGGCAUCCUGGACCAAUACUGACGCUGAGGAGCGAAAGCCAGGGGAGCAAACGGG